AGUUCUACUGAAAACUAUGAGAUCAAGGGUUGCUUUGCUAUGUCUGAGUUGGGCCAUGGAAGUAAUGUUCGAGGGAUUGAAACAGUUGCUACUUAUGAUUCGAACACUGGAGAAUUUAUAAUCAAUACUCCAUGUGAAUCGGGUCAGAAGUAUUGGAUUGGUGGUGCAGCAAAUCAUGCAACACACACUAUAGCCUU
Non-coding RNA from Cajanus cajan (pigeon pea), 197 nucleotides. NCBI's taxonomy places the organism in Eukaryota, Viridiplantae, Streptophyta, Magnoliopsida, Fabales, Fabaceae. The record is from RefSeq and is a predicted model, not a curated record.